This 397-nucleotide ribosomal RNA is filed under the name uncultured bacterium. RNAcentral's name for it is "partial 16S ribosomal RNA". It matches the Rfam family "Bacterial small subunit ribosomal RNA", at positions 523 to 918 of the family's 1533-position model. The record is from RNAcentral.
AUACGUAGGUGACAAGCGUUAUCCGGAUUUACUGGGUGUAAAGGGCGUGUAGGCGGUUUAGCAAGUCAGAAGUGAAAUUCCCGGGCUUAACUUGGGCGCUGCUUCUGAAACUGCUUUACUUGAGUGCUGGAGAGGAUUGUGGAAUUCCUAGUGUAGCGGUAAAAUGCGCAGAUAUUAGGAGGAACACCGGUGGCGAAGGCGGCUAUCUGGACAGUAACUGACGCUGAGGCGCGAAAGCACGGGGAGCAAACAGGAUUAGAUACCCUGGUAGUCCGUGCCGUAAACGAUGAAUACUAGGUGUAGGGGGUAUCGACUCCCUCUGUGCCGCAGUUAACACAUUAAGUAUUCCACCUGGGGAGUACGGCCGCAAGGUUGAAACUCAAAUGAAUUGACGGGG